AGAGCUGUAGCUCAGUGGAAGAGCAUGUGCUUGGCACGCAGAAGGUCCCAGGCUCAGUCCCUGGCACCUCCA
Podarcis lilfordi (Lilford's wall lizard) is the source of this 72-nucleotide non-coding RNA. The record is from the annotation of a GenBank genome assembly. NCBI's taxonomy places the organism in Eukaryota, Metazoa, Chordata, Lepidosauria, Squamata, Lacertidae.